This 76-nucleotide transfer RNA is filed under the name Rickettsiaceae bacterium. Its description in RNAcentral is "tRNA-Ala". It matches the Rfam family "tRNA". Rfam says of the family: Transfer RNA (tRNA) molecules are approximately 80 nucleotides in length. Their secondary structure includes four short double-helical elements and three loops (D, anti-codon, and T loops). The record is from RNAcentral. Lineage: Bacteria; Pseudomonadati; Pseudomonadota; Alphaproteobacteria; Rickettsiales; Rickettsiaceae. RNAcentral also lists the same sequence under 2 other names.
GGGGUCAUAGCUCAGUUGGUAGAGCGUUUGAAUGGCAUUCAAAAGGUCCGGGGUUCGAUUCCCCGUGGCUCCACCA